This is a long non-coding RNA of Esox lucius (northern pike), 1843 nucleotides long. Lineage: Eukaryota; Metazoa; Chordata; Actinopteri; Esociformes; Esocidae. The record is from Ensembl.
GUCUUAUCGUUAAAUAUGGGUUAAAUAUGCAUUUACAAACCUGGGUCUUGUCUUCCAGGUUUGUAAAUGCAUUUCUGUAUUUAAAAGUAGCACAGCCAGUGAAAACAAUGGCUUGUCUCACAAACUACAUUGAAGAUGUUAACCUCCUACACUGGUGACUUGUUCUCUUCUAAGGCGAUGUGGAACUGAGAGUUCACAUCACAGCUUUCCAGUUCCAAGGAAGCCGGUCCCAGAAUACACUGCAGCAGAUCGACAACGACACUUCGUUGGAAAGGAUCCUCGACACUGUGUCUGGUGAUAUCACGUUCACGGGUUGCGGCCGCUGUGCUGCCGAGCUGGACACUGAUGACAAUGGGAUCUACUGUCCCUGUUACCCUUGCCUGCCCCAUACAGGAGUAAGACGCUAUUACCGGUCAGUCCCACAACACUGGGCCUCUCAUAGCAACAUUGGAUUACAUAGCGUGUAUACAGAGAGUCCUCAAUAAUACUUCACUCACUGACUUCCAUUACCUUGGUGAACGUGUUCACUUCUCAGGCUUAUCAAAUAAAUGUAUCAAAUUGAGAGAAUUAACCAGUCGCUGACUCAAGCAGCCAGUGUAGCUCAAAUUUCAACAGAGGGGAUUGUGUCAAUUGCAAACAGGCCAUUGCGUGUGGUGAAGUGGCCAUUUGGAAGUGAAAUCUGCAGUAAAACAUCAGCAGCAGAGUGGCUUGGGUUUGCAGUUUGUAAUCUGAUUCCUUUUCAAGGUCUGAUCCCAAACGUGUGUGACACUGCUACAAGACUGGGAGUCCGUUAACUGACUUCCUCUAUUCACCUCAGGCCAGUUCUGCUGACGGUAAAGGAUGGGGAGAGCCAGGUAUGUGUCCAUGUGCCACCUGUCCUGUUGCAAAAGAUCCUCCUGAAUACUCCUCCUGACAAACUGGGCAAGACUGUGGCCCCAGGAUCAGAUGUCAGGUUUGUCCAAGUAGUGGCUGACAGAAUCCACUCCUUACUGUCUGUUCCCAGGCGCACCUUCCUCCUGACAGUCCGCAGCCACUUCGUGUGUGAUGAGAACAGUGUCCCCACUGCCCAGGACUUCCUGCUAAUGGAUUUACAUGACUCCAAAUCAUCUCUCACUUGAAUUAACAGUGUCGGAUGUAGGACUAUACAUAUAUUUCUAUGCAAAUAGGCAACAAAGUAUCCUGACAGUGUUAUCAAACCUCCCCAUAAAUGAUUUUUGGUAUGGUAUUGUUUUCUUUGAACACUUCAUCUGGAUAUGGUAAACAUAGAAAACCUUUCCCAAAGCUUGCUUUCACUUCUCAAAACUCACUUUAAACAAGUCUACAUUCUCGAGGAAAGUUCUGGGAACUAAUAAAACAAUUUGAGCUCUAUGGCAAUAAAGAUCAGCACUUAGUUUACUCACACCAAAGCGUAGGAUUCAAUGGAAAGAACACCAUAGCUAUAUACAAAGAUGCAGGAGAGUUUUUAAUGUUGUGGGUUUGCCUGAGGCACAUUAUCAUGUGUUAAACUGAGUCUCAGAGUCCAGUGUCUUAAAACUGAGUCGUCAUUAUAGGAUGUGUGGCUUUUAGCAAGAACCCCAAACAAAUCAACAAGCACCUGGUUAAGAGAUGCUAGAUCGUUCUGUGUCUAGCAAAGAGUAUCAAUCUGAAUCACGUCCAUAACUUGAUGAGAGCUAAAGAAAAACAGCUCUUUCUGGAGUGCAUAACUCAAAAAUAAUUUUAGCAUUUGGCUGUUAGAAGUUGGCCACAUUGCCUGUAAAAUGUGGAGCAAGCUCAUGGGUGACUACAAGUGUCUGUUUGCAGUCACCUUGGCCAAAGGCUGUACAACCAAAUACUAGUUGUAGGG